RNA transcript from Cucurbita maxima (winter squash), 3577 nucleotides. It is a transcript of the gene named F-box protein At2g16365-like, with no coding region annotated. NCBI's taxonomy places the organism in Eukaryota, Viridiplantae, Streptophyta, Magnoliopsida, Cucurbitales, Cucurbitaceae. The transcript is spliced from 6 exons. The record is from RefSeq and is a predicted model, not a curated record.
CUUGGCUUUCACUAUCUUCGAUUUUCUGUGUUCAUCCAUGGUUGCUCUUUCCAAUUCUCCCUCUUCCAUUAAUUUCAACCUCUCUCCUUCUCUCUUGAAUCGGUACGUCCUCUCUGUUUCGUCUUUAUAAUCAAUCUUCUCUCUCGAUCUGUGGCUCAAAUCUCCUCUCCUCUCUCUUUGGACCUCUGGACCGCUGUCGGCUGCGCUGUUGCUUCCUGGAGAAUUUCUCUAUCUGCAUCUCUUUUUCCUUUUAGUUCGGUUCGCCUUUCCAAGUUGCGUGCUAGCAGUGAGGGAUUGUUCUGUUACCAUGUCUGAUCAUAUCAUGAAGUCAUACCAAGAAGGGAAGGGAACGUCAAUGCGGCCCUACCAUUCAGUUUGGUUGGCUCAUUGGUCACGUCCAGGCUGCAAAUCAGCAAAUGGAGCCUGCAAUAAUUUAUUGACCAGCGGAGAGUCUGAUGAAGAGAGUUCUCAAACUAAGAAGCGUCCUUUGCUCGAAGGUCCAAUGGCAACUACUAUCACUGCAAAUCAUGACAUUGGGUCUGGAGAAGUAGCAGGAGUACGUGCAGAUAAUACCAACAAAAUGACUGAGAGAUCUAAGAAGUGCAGGAAAGAAAGGUUAGAUUCUGAGCCCUUUUCUAUGAUCAAUGAUUCUCAGCAUAGAGGGGGUAAAUUGGCUCUGAAGAUUGAACAGGCUACGGCUAGUCGAGGUGGAGCUUUGAAAUUUCAUACUGGUUCUAAAUCUGAGCACAAAACUUCGUCUCUGGAUGGAAAGGGGAGUCAAUGGCUAUCGCUGCUUGCAGUAGUUCCUGAAAGAGGUAAGCCCAAGAAGGAACAGAUAAAGUCCAAAGACACACACCAACAUGAGGAUCCCAGUAAGUUCCUUAACAACAAUGCCCCAACUGUUUCACCAUUUGUUGGAGAUGAGACUGUGGCAUCAGCUUCCAACUUUGUACCUUAUGAAAUGAGUAAUCUGUUCCCAUUCUCCACAUGUGAACAAAGUAUCAACAACGAACCAAAUUCCUGUUUGGCAUCCAAAAAGCAGGUUGAGAAUACUAAUUUCCAUACUUAUUCUACUCUUUUUGUUCAAGAGACAAAAAUCAACCAACUUUUGGAUACAACGCAAGCUACAAAUGCACUGUCAAGGCAGCACAUGAGAACGUUUUUACUGCAUAAUCCCUCUUCAAGCAAUCUUGACCAGCCAAAUCCAUACCCCAUACAAUGUGACACUAGGAAAAAUAGUUCAAAUGCCUUACCCUUUCAAAGUCAGGACAACCAUUCAGACACUGCCUUACCAGAAUACUUAUACCAUGGAGGUUACUCAAUGCAGAGGCUUCCAUUUUCUGUACACGACGUGGAAACUAUGAGAAUAUGUACCACCGUAGACUCUGUUGGACAGGCGCUCAGGGGUCCUCCAAAAUUUUGUCAGACAACUCACCGUUUAAUGAUCACUAAAAAGACUGAUGUUGACUUGUAUGAAGGUCAGGCGUUUAGAGGGAAAGUGGCAUCUACCAAUCUCAAAGAGGAAACUGCACGUGCGCUUCUUGGUUCAUCCACCAAUUUAGGCAGAGACGAUCAGAAGGAAAAUGAAGAUCUUGGAAAUACGAGGAGUGCGACUUCUUUGAGCAACGAGUCAUCAUCUGAGACUGAUAUUAUGGACAUGGAUGCAUACCAAGACAACCAUUCGAGGGACGUGGAUACAUCAGAAGCAGAUAAGGAGUUGAGGAGUUCAAAAUCACCACUGCUCUCUGUGAGUGCAACUGGUUCGGUUAGAAAGCAAAUUGGAGGUCCGCUGCCGAAGAAAAGAUUACUUAAUAUAAACGAAAGGCCACCCAAUCGUUCUACUUCUACAAGCCUGAUGGAAAACGGGGAGUCAAGUACCUCUAAAACACAAACUUUAGAUGCAGAACACCUCCUUUCAAAUGCUGAGCAGCAAAGGUUUUUGAAUUCCAUUGUCCCUCCAGAUGACUCUUCUAAACGGGAGAUAGACAGUGGGUGGGUUAAACGUCUUAGGCCAUGCGCUUCAGAGUCUGUUCAUGACUCAAAGAGCACGAAAAAGGUGGAAGAGUCUUCCUGUGAUAAAGCCAAUCAGCUCUUCAAUAAAAUGAAACGCAGCUCAACCAGCUCUGAUCGCUCUAGGGGUCCACUCCAUGGACAAGAGCAAUUGGCGGUUGGCCAAACGGCUACUAUAGUAAAAGCUAGUGACUUGUGCAGCAACUUGAGAUUAAAAAAUCGAGAAAUGAUACUCUCCAGUCCCUGGAUUCGAAGAUUAUGUCAUAAUAGAUCAACAUCUUCUGAACGAAAUCUUGAAACUGCUGUGGUUCACAAAUCACAAUGUUCUAGGCCAAUUUUAAAUAAGCCAAUGCCCAGUAUAGCUGCUAUGGCAUUGAUGGGCAAGACAGUGACUGGGCUUCAGCCAUGUGAGUUCAUCAGAAGAGGAUCUUCACUGGUCUGGAAUACCGAGGGUAUUUGACAACCCUCUUAAGUUUCGACACUACUGAUAUCUUGAAAUGGAGUUAUUUCUAUCGAACUCCUGGCCAUCAUCAACUCAGACCCAAGUAGUUUGAACUGCUAGAGAGCUAAAUUAAGCUUCUGGAUAAGCUCGUUACAGUUGCCACCACUGCCUGAAUGGAAGAAUGGUUCCUUUAUAUGGUUUUGUGCUCGAUUAUUCACGAUGUAUCUCCUGGGGCUGAAGGCAAACGUGAGCAUCCACCCAUUUACAGUAAAGAAACGAGCAACGAGCCUGAAGAAAACUAACAUACAACCAUUAUAUGGUUGAAGUGGUUAGAGGAACAACAUUCAGUAGUCCGAAGCUGUCAAUAUCAAUAUAGGAUGGAAAUUUGUGGAGUCUUGACCAAUCAGGUAAUGGAAACCAUGCAGAUGAACAACCCCACCUCUUCUCUGGUACAUUAUUUUCCUCAGAUGGUUAAACUCAGCUCAUUAUCUAAGAUCUUUUGUUACAAAUUAAGGUUCCAUUUCUAAUCUGACAGCCAGUAUGUUCCAGAGCAGAUUCAAAAAAACCGCCUCCUUGAAUGGUUGAAUCCAUACAGGGCGGAGCAAACUGAGUUAUUACGUCUCCCACGGUGAGUAUCCCUGUUGCUUGGUGGGAACUAUUGACAAGAAAGCUGAAACUGCUAUUUGUUUCUGCCAUAGUUUUCAUCACUUGCUUCAGAGUGUCAUCUCUCCUGAUGGUGACUGGAGUGUGCAUAUUUGGAACUUUGCACUUAACUAGAGGACGAGCGCUCGACAAGCAACUGCACCCAUUUGUUUCUCCCAUAGUAAAUGAAAGGCUUCCAUAAUGUUUUGAUCGCCAUAGACGUGAAGAACAUUCUCUUCAUUAUGAAACCUGAAUUGACAAUGAUCAAGAAAGGAAAAGGAAGCAAUUAUGUUAUUCAAUUCCAUAUAGAUCAAUCUGUUAUUCAUGUGAUGGUGUGAUGUUCCUUACCGAAACUUCGAUAUAACUUUGUCCACUAUGCUGUCAAACCACUCCAAGCCACUUGAUUCCAGAAGCAUAUGAAUUACUGCAUUCUGUCAUAGAACGCAAACGAUUUCAAACACUUGAUAAACCUGAAAGGCUCGA